UACGUAGGGUGCGAGCGUUGUCCGGAAUUAUUGGGCGUAAAGAGCUCGUAGGCGGCUCAUCGCGUCAACCGUGAAAACCAGCAGCUCAACUGUUGGCUUGCGGUUGAUACGGGUGGGCUGGAGUUCGGUAGGGGAGACUGGAAUUCCUGGUGUAGCGGUGAAAUGCGCAGAUAUCAGGAGGAACACCGGUGGCGAAGGCGGGCCUCUGGGCCGAUACUGACGCUGAGGAGCGAAAGCGUGGGGAGCGAACAGG
Molecule: ribosomal RNA, 253 nt
Filed under: uncultured bacterium
Lineage: Bacteria
Description: partial 16S ribosomal RNA
Rfam family: Bacterial small subunit ribosomal RNA
Source: RNAcentral